RNAcentral lists this unclassified non-coding RNA (277 nucleotides) under Cortinarius decipiens. Its description in RNAcentral is "sequence contains 5.8S rRNA gene". The stretch from base 1 to 53 matches the Rfam family "5.8S ribosomal RNA", at positions 102 to 154 of the family's 154-position model. Lineage: Eukaryota; Fungi; Basidiomycota; Agaricomycetes; Agaricales; Cortinariaceae. The record is from RNAcentral.
GAACGCACCUUGCGCUCCUUGGUAUUCCGAGGAGCAUGCCUGUUUGAGUGUCAUUAAUAUAUCAACCUUCUCUUUUUUGAGUUGUUUGGAUGUGGGGGUUUGCUGGCAUCUUAAAUGAUUCAGCUCCCCUGAAAUGCAUUAGCAGAACAAACCUGUUCAUUGGCGUGAUAAUUAUCUAUGCUAUUGAAUGUGAGGGCAGUUCAGCUUUCUAACCGUCCUUGGACAAUUCAUCAUUAAUGUGACCUCAAAUCAGGUAGGACUACCCGCUGAACUUAAG